RNAcentral lists this ribosomal RNA (314 nucleotides) under uncultured bacterium. RNAcentral describes it as "bacterial SSU rRNA". It matches the Rfam family "Bacterial small subunit ribosomal RNA", at positions 28 to 334 of the family's 1533-position model. The record is from RNAcentral.
GAUGAACGCUGGCGGCGUGCAUAACACAUUCAAGUCGAACGAAGUUAAAUGCGUAGCAAUACAAGUUUAACUUAGUGGCCGACGGGUGAGUAUCGCGUGAGCAACCUGCCUUUGUGAGGGGGAUAACGUUUGGAAACGAACGCUAAUACCGCAUGAAGCAUAAGAGAUCGCAUGGUCUUAAUGCCAAAGAUUUAUCGCACAAAGAUGGGCUCGCGUCUGAUUAGAUAGUUGGUGGGGUAACGGCCUACCAAGUCGACGAUCAGUAGCCGGACUGAGAGGUUGAACGGCCACAUUGGAACUGAGAUACGGUCCAG